RNAcentral lists this ribosomal RNA (684 nucleotides) under uncultured bacterium. RNAcentral describes it as "bacterial SSU rRNA". It matches the Rfam family "Bacterial small subunit ribosomal RNA", at positions 106 to 788 of the family's 1533-position model. The record is from RNAcentral.
GUGCGUAACACGUAUGCAACCUACCCUAUACAGGCGAAUAACCUUUAGAAAUGAGGGCUAAUACGCCGUAGUAUUAUCUUAGGGCAUCUUAAGAUAAUUAAAGAUUUAUCGGUAUAGGAUGGGCAUGCGUCCCAUUAGUUAGUUGGUAGGGUAGCGGCUUACCAAGGCUAUGAUGGGUAGGGGAUCUGAGAGGAUUUACCCCCACACUGGUACUGAGACACGGACCAGACUCCUACGGGAGGCAGCAGUAAGGAAUAUUGGGCAAUGGGCGAGAGCCUGACCCAGCCAUGCCGCGUGCAGGAAGACGGCCCUAUGGGUUGUAAACUGCUUUUAUACGGGAAUAAAGUUGGGUAUGUAUACUCAUUUGCAAGUACUGUAUGAAUAAGCAUCGGCUAACUCCGUGCCAGCAGCCGCGGUAAUACGGAGGAUGCGAGCGUUAUCCGGAUUUAUUGGGUUUAAAGGGUGCGCAGGCGGAUAUAUAAGUCAGUGGUGAAAUUCCUGGGCUCAACCGAGGGACUGCCGUUGAUACUGUAUAUCUUGAGUGUAGUGGGCGUUGGCGGAAUGUGUCAUGUAGCGGUGAAAUGCAUAGAGAUGACACAGAACACCGAUAGCGAAGGCAGCUGACGAUACUUACACUGACGCUCAUGCACGAGAGCGUGGGGAUCAAACAGGAUUAGAUACCCU